UUCUCUCCCGAGUCUGUAUGGACCUGCCCACAUAAGGAGCACGCUUGUCGUGCUCACAAAUACGCAGGUGGGAAAUUCGGUGGUUCGCACUGACCGCCUACAAAGUUUUCUCUUGAGAGAUCCUGGCGAGGAAUCGCUGGGUGCGGCCAUAAGAAAUCAGCCCGUGCAAACGGGCAUGGGAGGCUGCACGGUCAGUUGGUCCUUGGAAAGAAGGGCUAUUGAGUGCAAUAUACAGACUACGGCUUCGGCCGUGGAACCCGAUACCGAUUACUUCUGGUGAGAA
This 283-nucleotide RNase P RNA is filed under the name Petasospora fabianii. RNAcentral's name for it is "Cyberlindnera fabianii Nuclear RNase P". It matches the Rfam family "Nuclear RNase P". Rfam says of the family: Ribonuclease P (RNase P) is a ubiquitous endoribonuclease, found in archaea, bacteria and eukarya as well as chloroplasts and mitochondria. Its best characterised activity is the generation of mature 5'-ends of tRNAs by cleaving the 5'-leader elements of precursor-tRNAs. Cellular RNase Ps are ribonucleoproteins. Lineage: Eukaryota; Fungi; Ascomycota; Saccharomycetes; Phaffomycetales; Wickerhamomycetaceae. The record is from Rfam by way of RNAcentral.